Molecule: non-coding RNA, 1027 nt
Organism: Pelodiscus sinensis (Chinese soft-shelled turtle)
Lineage: Eukaryota; Metazoa; Chordata; Testudines; Trionychidae
Source: RefSeq, a predicted model, not a curated record
CUCUUGUAUGUUUAUAUUUGUCUUCUUUUGCCUUCUGGGAAAUGGGACAGCAUUCAACAACAACAGUUCCAGUCUAUCUCAACUGAAGUCUUCUUUUCCUCCAAAAGGACAGUUAUUAGCAUCUACAAGAUUGUCAAUAAAGGACUUCUUGUGUGAGGCUUCCACAGCAUGUACCUGAAACUUGACCUUAAGGUACUCCAUUAUGGGGUGCCCCAGCCCACCAUACCCAGAAGAAUUUGGAGGCUGGACACCAGCUCGGAGUGGUGGGACUGGCUGGUCAUGGAACAGUGGGAUGACUAGCAAUGGGUGCAGAACUUCCACAUGCAGAAGGCCACCUUCCAGGAGCUCUGUACCUGGCUGGCACCUGCCCUCCAAUGAUGUGACACGCAUCUGCAGCCCGCCAUCCCACUCCAACAGCAGGUUGCCAUCGCCCUCUGGAAGCUGGCCACCCCUGACAGCUACCACUGGAGGCCGUCCUUAUGCAAGUCAUCCGGGCCAUCAACUCCCUGCUGCUGUGCAGAGUCAUCUAGUUCCAGGACCUUGACGCCACCAUGGGCAGCUUUGCUGUGCUGUGCUUCCCCAACUGUGCAGGAGCAAUCGACAGCACGCACAUCCCCAUCCCCGGGCCCUGGAUCAUCGAGUGGCCCAGUUUGUCAACCAAAAAGGCUACUUCUCCGUAGUCCUGUAGGCCCUGGUGGACCACCGGGGCCACUUCACAAACAUUUAUGUGGGGUGGCUGGGCAGGACUCACGAUGCCCGUGUUUUCCACAACUCUAGCCUGUGUGCUCAGCUGGAGGUGGGCACCGUUUUUCUCUGACGAGUUCCCUAUGGGUGACCAGACUAUGCCAGUGUGCAUAGUGGGGGAUGCGGCAUACCCACUAAUGCCCUGGCUAAUGCGCCCCUACACCGGCCACUUGGUCAAAGGACAUAUUCAGUGCUCGCCUGAACAGAGCCCGCCUCCAGGUAGAGUGCACCUUUGGGUGUUUGAAAGGACGGUUCUGCUGCCUCCUCACCUGCCUAGACGUUG